AUGACCUCGGAUCAGGUAGGGAUACCCGCUGAACUUAAGCAUAUCAAUAAGCGGAGGAAAAGAAACCAACAGGGAUUACCUCAGUAACGGCGAGUGAAGCG
This 101-nucleotide ribosomal RNA is filed under the name Podosphaera hibiscicola. RNAcentral's name for it is "partial 28S ribosomal RNA". It matches the Rfam family "Eukaryotic large subunit ribosomal RNA", at positions 1 to 100 of the family's 3401-position model. The record is from RNAcentral. RNAcentral also lists the same sequence under 4 other names. Lineage: Eukaryota; Fungi; Ascomycota; Leotiomycetes; Helotiales; Erysiphaceae.